RNAcentral lists this ribosomal RNA (1318 nucleotides) under Escherichia coli. RNAcentral describes it as "partial 23S ribosomal RNA". It matches the Rfam family "Bacterial large subunit ribosomal RNA", at positions 296 to 1629 of the family's 2925-position model. The record is from RNAcentral. Lineage: Bacteria; Pseudomonadati; Pseudomonadota; Gammaproteobacteria; Enterobacterales; Enterobacteriaceae.
AGCCCAGAGCCUGAAUCAGUGUGUGUGUUAGUGGAAGCGUCUGGAAAGGCGCGCGAUACAGGGUGACAGCCCCGUACACAAAAAUGCACAUACUGUGAGCUCGAUGAGUAGGGCGGGACACGUGGUAUCCUGUCUGAAUAUGGGGGGACCAUCCUCCAAGGCUAAAUACUCCUGACUGACCGAUAGUGAACCAGUACCGUGAGGGAAAGGCGAAAAGAACCCCGGCGAGGGGAGUGAAAAAGAACCUGAAACCGUGUACGUACAAGCAGUGGGAGCCUCUUAAUGGGGUGACUGCGUACCUUUUGUAUAAUGGGUCAGCGACUUAUAUUCUGUAGCAAGGUUAACCGAAUAGGGGAGCCGAAGGGAAACCGAGUCUUAACUGGGCGUUAAGUUGCAGGGUAUAGACCCGAAACCCGGUGAUCUAGCCAUGGGCAGGUUGAAGGUUGGGUAACACUAACUGGAGGACCGAACCGACUAAUGUUGAAAAAUUAGCGGAUGACUUGUGGCUGGGGGUGAAAGGCCAAUCAAACCGGGAGAUAGCUGGUUCUCCCCGAAAGCUAUUUAGGUAGCGCCUCGUGAAUUCAUCUCCGGGGGUAGAGCACUGUUUCGGCAAGGGGGUCAUCCCGACUUACCAACCCGAUGCAAACUGCGAAUACCGGAGAAUGUUAUCACGGGAGACACACGGCGGGUGCUAACGUCCGUCGUGAAGAGGGAAACAACCCAGACCGCCAGCUAAGGUCCCAAAGUCAUGGUUAAGUGGGAAACGAUGUGGGAAGGCCCAGACAGCCAGGAUGUUGGCUUAGAAGCAGCCAUCAUUUAAAGAAAGCGUAAUAGCUCACUGGUCGAGUCGGCCUGCGCGGAAGAUGUAACGGGGCUAAACCAUGCACCGAAGCUGCGGCAGCGACACUAUGUGUUGUUGGGUAGGGGAGCGUUCUGUAAGCCUGUGAAGGUGUACUGUGAGGUAUGCUGGAGGUAUCAGAAGUGCGAAUGCUGACAUAAGUAACGAUAAAGCGGGUGAAAAGCCCGCUCGCCGGAAGACCAAGGGUUCCUGUCCAACGUUAAUCGGGGCAGGGUGAGUCGACCCCUAAGGCGAGGCCGAAAGGCGUAGUCGAUGGGAAACAGGUUAAUAUUCCUGUACUUGGUGUUACUGCGAAGGGGGGACGGAGAAGGCUAUGUUGGCCGGGCGACGGUUGUCCCGGUUUAAGCGUGUAGGCUGGUUUUCCAGGCAAAUCCGGAAAAUCAAGGCUGAGGCGUGAUGACGAGGCACUACGGUGCUGAAGCAACAAAUGCCCUGCUUCCAGGAAAAGCCUCUAAGCAU